UACGUAGGGGGCAAGCGUUGUCCGGAUUUAUUGGGCGUAAAGAGCGUGUAGGCGGCUUUGCAAGUCCGUUGUGAAAACUCGAGGCUCAACCUCGAGACGCCGGUGGAAACUGCAAAGCUAGAGUCCGGAAGAGGAGAGUGGAAUUCCAGGUGUAGCGGUGAAAUGCGUAGAUAUCUGGAGGAAUACCGGUGGCGAAGGCGGCAUCCUGGACCGAGAUUGACGCUGAACGGCGAAAGCUAGGGGAGCAAACGGG
Molecule: ribosomal RNA, 253 nt
Filed under: uncultured bacterium
Lineage: Bacteria
Description: partial 16S ribosomal RNA
Rfam family: Bacterial small subunit ribosomal RNA
Source: RNAcentral